CUCCAGGAAAAAAUAUUUAUUUAAAUCUCCGUUUGAUGUCGUUGUUGUUUUUGUAAUUAUUUUAAAUCAAAGGAAAACAAACACGAAAAUUAAACAAUAGUUGUAUUGAUUCUAAAUAAGAUGAUAAAAAAUAUACGAAUCGAUAUAUUUAUUAAAAAACCAUUUUGUUAAUAAUAAUUACACUUAAUGAAUAACUAAUAUCCUGCUGAAGCGGUCACUAGGUACUGGUCAAAUAUUUACCUAUUGAAUUGACUCCCUCUAUAUUGUAUUCGUUAAUAAACUGUCCAUUUAAUUAUACAAUCAAAACAUUAACUUCUAUAAUUUCUGUAAUUCUAUAUACUCCUACAAGUUAUAGUUAACUACCCAUAUAGUGCAAAUAAUUAAUAACAAAUUUAAAACCAAAAAAUUCAUUACUAAAAGUAGAAUACAAUUUAUUGAAAUUGAAUUUUAUGUAUUCGUAAAAUUAUAAUACAUAAGUACCUAUCUACGUACUUUGAGAAUCACUAGUUUAAAAUGUUAUCAGGACCCGAUUCAAUAAUACAUUAAUUCGCGGGAGCCACGAUUCGAUUGGUCGGUGUGGUGAUUUUCCUGACAUUUGGCGCCAGUCAACGGUAAUAUGGUAAUAUUGUUCCGUGCCGUUCGUCAAUACAAACCCCUUCAUAGAGCAUAGGUACGAAAUUUGUUCUGUGUGUGUGUGUGUGUUAUUUAAGAAUUUGCGACCACCAUUGUCAAUCCAAUCACUGUAACCUCAACAAUGUUAUUGUGUAAAUAAAACCGCAGGUAUAAUUUUAUAUUUUUAACUGUGUACUGCACAUUUCACAUAGCGUUCGUUAUUAAUAUCACGUCGUUUUGUCGGGAUAUUUGUUUUAAUAAUCUUUCCAUUUCAUAGGUUCGUCUCGUUGUUUUACACCGUAUGGGUGUACCUACGCCGUGAUUAAAUAAUUUUAUUUGCCUAUUUAUUCGCGUAGGAAAUUAUUACGCGUCGGUACGUUUCCAUACAUGUAACUGACCUGCAUAAUGAUAAUAUUAUCAUUGUAUCAUAAUGUUAAUAUUAUCAUUUCCAGUUGUGAAUAUUAUUCAAUUUAAAAUAUUAUGCUAAAAUAGUAAUAUGAUCAAAUUGUUAAUUUUUUAUUUUCUUAGUUUUACCGGGGUUAUUAUUAUUUCAUGGUUACAAUUAUUAGUCAGUGAAGACUGGAUUCAAAUAAAUAUCUGUUAUGAUAGUAAUUUGCAACGCGUUCUGUUAAAUCAAAACCAUGGUUAGCCCAAAACCCAUAUACAUACAGAACAAGUAAUAAUACACUCGUGCAUAUAUAAAUGAUGUGUGUUAUUAUAUUAUUAUGUAAAUUUUAAUUUUGUCAUUACACAUUUUAUAAAGUACGGUGUCUGUAUAUAAAAUCCGAUUACACAAAUUGUAAAUCAAAUUUUCGUACUUUUUAUUUUAUUUAUACAUAUAUCAAAUUUAGAGAUAACGGUUAUUUUAAAUUAUUUAUGUAAGUAGUUUAUAUUGUAUUUAUAUAAUUUCUAUCAAUGUUACAACAAAAAAAAAAAAAAAAAAUAAAAAAUUAUAAUUGUAAACUACUUAAUUUAUUAAAUGUUGUUAUUGUAACUAUAACACACUGUUAAGAAGAUAUUAUUAUUAUAAUUAUUAAAAUUAUUAUCAUAUUAUUAUUAUUAUUAUUAUUAUUAUUAUUAUUAUUAUUAUUAUUAUUAU
Cinara cedri is the source of this 1711-nucleotide non-coding RNA. The record is from the annotation of a GenBank genome assembly. NCBI's taxonomy places the organism in Eukaryota, Metazoa, Arthropoda, Insecta, Hemiptera, Aphididae.